RNAcentral lists this ribosomal RNA (499 nucleotides) under uncultured bacterium. RNAcentral's name for it is "partial 16S ribosomal RNA". It matches the Rfam family "Bacterial small subunit ribosomal RNA", at positions 30 to 523 of the family's 1533-position model. The record is from RNAcentral.
AUUGAACGCUGGCGGUAUGCUUAACACAUGCAAGUCGAACGAUGAGAAAGAGCUUGCUCUUUCGAUUAGUGGCGGACGGGUGCGUAACGCGUAGGAAUCUACCUAUUAGUGGGGGACAACUUAGGGAAACUUAAGCUAAUACCGCAUACGCCCUACGGGGGAAAGAAGGGGAUCGCAAGACCUUUUGCUAAUAGAUGAGCCUGCGUAGGAUUAGCUAGUUGGUGGGGUAAAAGCUCACCAAGGCGACGAUCCUUAACUGGUUUGAGAGAAUGAUCAGUCACACUGGAACUGAGACACGGUCCAGAAUCCUACGGGAGGCAGCAGUGGGGAAUAUUGGACAAUGGGCGAGAGCCUGAUCCAGCAAUACCGCGUGUGUGAAGAAGGCCUUAGGGUUGUAAAGCACUUUCAAUUGGAAGGAAAACCUCGAAGCUAAUACCUUCGAGUUUGACAUUACCUUUAGAAGAAGCACCGGCUAACUCCGUGCCAGCAGCCGCGGUAA